Molecule: long non-coding RNA, 633 nt
Organism: Sipha flava (yellow sugarcane aphid)
Lineage: Eukaryota; Metazoa; Arthropoda; Insecta; Hemiptera; Aphididae
Exons: 3
Source: RefSeq, a predicted model, not a curated record
CCCAUUUUAUUGAAAAUAAUGAUUUACUUGGUUGUAUUUUGAAGAAAUUUGAAUUAUUGGAAAUAAAUGGACUUUAGCGAACGGUUCACUUCAAUGACCGUUGACGUUAAGUGGUAAUUUUCCAUUAUUAAAACUAUACUAUCAGAUAACCGCAGAUCUUUCAAAUUCAAAAGAAUAAGAAGACAUUUAAAAAUCAAGUAUAAUUUCUAAGAUUGAUUUACGAUCGAAAAAUAAUAUAAUAGAGGUGUUGGCCUAGUGCCUUGUCGAGGCUAUUUUUAAAUAUUUUGUGAAGAUUUUGCAAUUCAGAUUUGAAUAUUAAAAUUAAAAUGUUCACACAAAUUUAACUACGAACACUUUUAUAUACACAAUAUUUUUACACGAGCAAGAAAGAAAAUUACAUUCAGUUUAUAAAUCGAUUUCUCGAAUUCAUCAACUAAUUAAAAAGUCUUAUUCAUAUAAAUAUAUAUACGAGUAUGACCUUCCCUCCUACUGAUGGUCGGAAUAUUUCUGUUAGAUAUUGUGUACACAUAAGCGAAAAUAAAAAUUAAUAAAAAAGAAAAAGAAACAUCAUGCAUUAUACGAACCAACAGUGCUAAAAAAUAAGGUUUGUUGAAAAAGUUUUUCAUGAUUAUA